CGCGGGAUGGAGCAGUCUGGUAGCUCGUCGGACUCAUAACCCGAAGGUCGUGGGUUCAAAUCCUGCUCCCGCAA
Molecule: transfer RNA, 74 nt
Filed under: Lactobacillus acidophilus
Lineage: Bacteria; Bacillati; Bacillota; Bacilli; Lactobacillales; Lactobacillaceae
Description: tRNA-Met
Rfam family: tRNA
About the family: Transfer RNA (tRNA) molecules are approximately 80 nucleotides in length.
Source: RNAcentral